Drosophila arizonae is the source of this 103-nucleotide long non-coding RNA. The record is from RefSeq and is a predicted model, not a curated record. Lineage: Eukaryota; Metazoa; Arthropoda; Insecta; Diptera; Drosophilidae.
UGUUGUCUACAAAAGGAACACCCGCACAAUGCCAAAGGAUAUAUAGAUAUUUUGUGUUCCAAAUCGUGGGAGAGUUUGAUGUAUAUGUGUGUGUGUGUGUGUG